ACAACUGUUCUGGAUUCAGUCCAUGAAUCCAAAGGAAGAUCUGAACUUCUCUCAUUACAAUUUAUGAGAAGACUGCUUGGGAUGGAGCAGAGGAGCUGGGAGAGAACAAGUGAAGCUGAGCCUGAGAGAGCAGUAAGGAAAGUUCUAUGCUCUGGGUCAUCUUGGAAUGCGUCAUUCUGGGAGUACCAGCACACACAGGAGGAGGACCAACAUUUUAGGAUUGCAGUAAAUCAUGUUGUUUUCUCCAGAAUCUGGAACAACAUGUUGAGACUGAAGAGUCAUGAGAAUUGCCCACAGCUUAUCCCAGUCUCAGGUUUGUUUAGGUUUUGAAUUAAAUCUCUGGAGGUCUACAGUGUUUACUUCACUGACAGGAAAAAAAUCAUAGAUGUCCAAAGUAUUUUUCAAAAACAACAAAAACACACAAAAGAACACGCUGUUAUGUCAAAAAAGGUAGAAAUACACUUGUAUGAAACAUAAGGUCUUUCUAGUUUACAUAUACUACAGAAUCAUCGAUAAAUAAAAUAGAUAAUAAUAUAAUUUCCAUAAUCCUCCUAGUUUCUUUGUGCUUAUAUAGAUAUUUUCUAAAAUUACUAAGCCACGUUAAAAGCUUGAGAGGUAUUGAUUGUACAGUAUAUAAAGAUCUCUUUCAAGAUCUCUUUGAAGAUCUCUUUAGACUGACCAUGUAAAUAACCUGAACCUGAAGAUGCACAAGUCCAUGAGACCCAACAACAUCUACCCAUGUGUUCUGAGGGAACUGGAAGAUGAAAUUACCAAGUUGCUAUCCAUCAUAUUUGAAAGAUCACAGCAGUCCGGUGAAGUUCCCACUGACUGGAAAAGCGGAAACAUAACCCCCAUUUUCAAUAAAGGAAAAAAAGAAGAUCCAGGGAGCUACAGGCCAGUCAGUCUUACCUCUGUGCGUGAAAAGAUCAUGGAGCAGAUUCUCCUGAAGGCCCUACUAAGACAUAUGGAAGAUGAGGUGAUUGGUGUUAACAAGCAUUGCUUCACCAAGGGCAAGUCACACCUGACAAAAUUGGUGACCUUUUAUGGUGGUGUUACAGC
Gallus gallus (chicken) is the source of this 1059-nucleotide long non-coding RNA. The record is from Ensembl. NCBI's taxonomy places the organism in Eukaryota, Metazoa, Chordata, Aves, Galliformes, Phasianidae.